UGAUUGGCUACUAUGGAGCCAUAACAGCUGAAGGAGGGAAAAGCAGCUGGAGAGUGAAGCUGCAGGAGAGCUAUAUCAGCCUAAAGGGUCAGAGACUCAGCCCCUGCUUCCCCCCCCCCCCCCGGCAGAGGAAACAGUGCUGACUGAGGCUUGCUGGGGAGCAAACUUUAGGAUAGAGGAAAGCCUGAGUCAUCCAAGGAGAAGCUUAUUCCGCACCCAGUUGUGGCAGGAAAGUUUGGAGGGGAACCGAGGCAGAUCCAGCUGCCCUCCUACAAAAUUUGGUGCAUUGGCCAGGAACCCUUAAGAAACCUGAGGGGCCAUGGAGUCCAUGGAUAUGCAAGCUCUGACCGACUGGCAGCAGGCACACACCUUCACCCUAUGACUCCUACAGGGGCAACAAGCCCAGUUAGAGGUACAUACUCAAGAAACUGAGGCAUGGAUCUGGCUAUAUUCUCAUCAGCAGGACCUGAGAGGUCUCUGGGCUUAGCUGAGACACUCCCUUGCCCCUUGCUCCUAGGGGUUGACUGGCCCCACCUGGAAGAGAUAGUCACCCAGAUCUUGGCAAAGAAAGGAGGCGAGUGGGAGAAGGACCCAGGAGUGGUGUGCUCCAGGACCCUGGAGGAGGAAGAGGGAGCAGACCUAGACAUGGAACAAAUGAUAGGAGAUGGAUACUUCAGGGAGGAACAGAGACAAGAACCCCUGUUCCAAAACUGUCCCAACUGGCCAAGGAUGAGGGCGAGGUGGUGGACCCCGGGGAGACAAGGUGGAGCCCGUGGUUCGAGGGUUACCCAGAGAAGCCUAAGGAGUAGAGCACCAGAUCCAGACACUACCGGGGUGCAUUGUUCGCAACCACUGGAGAAGGCUACCUUGACACUUGUGGCUUGCAGUUGGACAGAAAAUUGACCAGAUGAAAAGAUAAGGGAUCAUUGAAGAAUCCAGGAGCCCCUGGAGGAGCCCAAUGGUGGUGGUCCUAAAGAUGGAUGGCUCGAUAUGCCUAUGCAUCGACUACCACAAGGUGAAUGAGAUUGGCAUUGGGAAAGCAUCAAAUGUUGCACAGGUGGACAACAUGCUGGAAAAAGUUGACUAGGCCUAGUAUAUCUCUACUCUAGACCUGACCAAGGGCUAUUGGCAGAUCCCUAUGGCAGUAGCAGACAAAGAAAAGAUGGCUUUUGGGACCCCGUGGGGCCUGUUCCAAUUUAAAUAAAUGCCAUUUGGGCUACACAGAGUGGCCACCUCCUUCCAGUGAUUGAUGGACUGGUUACUAGCACCACGCCAAGAAUAUGCCGCUGCAUACAUCAAUAUCAUUUUCUCACAAGACUGGAAAACUCACCGCCAACAUCUACGGAAAGUCCAGGAAGAACUCCGAUGGGCCGGACUGAUGGCCAACCCCUGGAAAUGUGCACUAGGAAAAAGGGAAACAGUACCUAGGCUUUAUGGUAGGACAAGGUAGUGUAAGACCAGUGGCAGACAAAGUGGUGGCAAUUUGGCAACACCCCCUUCCCUGAACACUAAAACAAUUACGAUCAUUCCUUGGCUUUGUCAAUUACUACAGGUGGUUUAUCCAGGGUUUCUUGGAGAAGGUGGCACCCCUGACGGAACUGACUAAGAGCCAAAGGAACUCAGUCAAGUGGAACCCAAGGGCCCUCCAAGCCUUCGAGCAGGUCAAGGAGGCCCUAUGCCAACACCUGGUCUUGUAUGCCCUGAACUUCAAGAAAACCUUCUUCCUGCAAACAGAUGUAUAGGGCACCACCUUAGGAAUGAUCCUCUUCCAAGAGAAAGUGUGGGGGAGACAAGCCUAUAGCCUUCACCAGUAAAAAGCUAACCCUGGAGGAGACCUGUUACUGCACCAGUGAGCGGGCCUGGCCAUCCGGUGGGGGUGGAACUUUUUUGCUAUUGCCUAAUAAGGCAGGAAUGUGUGCUAAUCACAGACCAUGUACCUCUACACUGGCUGCGAACAGCUAAGCUGGAUAACACCAGACUGAUGAAGUGGUCCCUUGCUUUACAGCUGUUUGUUUUUACAGUGAGACAUUGAGUAGAUAUGUAUAUUAGAUACAUAUGUAUCUAAUACAUCCUAAUUGCAGGUUGGCACCAAGCAAGGAGUCUGCCAAGAACCACAGUAUCUUUGUGUGGGGAGCAGCUCCCCAGGCCACUUACAAGCUUCUGAUGAUACAAUAUUCCAAAGACUGUUGCCUAGAUAGGCCUGGACAUGACCACAACACAGGUUCUUUCUUUUGGAGAGACAGCCUGGACCACUCUUCCCCAAAUCAAAUCCAAGGGUUCCUGGUGCUUAGCAAGAAAUUAGGAAAGCAUGGGCUGUGACCCCUUUUUGCAAAUUGUAUGUUAAGGGCCUGCCCUCUGUAGCAGAGUGUAACAGGGCACCACUCCAAGACCCUGUUACUGUUUGGGUCCAUCUGCCAGACCAGUGUCUUCCCAGAGACUGGGAGCAAGAAGCAAUGCAAGGCCCAUUUUAAGGUAGUCCAGAAAGGGGUCUUGUAAAUUUAUAAAGUUGAGCAACUUGGGGAGUAAGAAAAAUCUGCAAGUAUACCAAGUAAAGAAAUGGGUGGAGCUAGAGGGGUGGCCCCAUCUCCUAUGAACCUCAAGCUUGGGAGAUGUAAUAUGAGGGGGGAAGACAACACCCCAGGUUUUGGCAAGCAGUUUACAGAGAUUAAAACGGGCUAGCUGUGGUUGCUAAUAAGAGAUUUUGAAGAUGUGUUUAUUGAUGAGCCAGGAAAAGCCCAAUGGGUAAAACAGAAUAGUGAUGCCUCUGGGGUGUAUAGUGCAGGAGCACUGGAGGUGGCUGUGGAGACAUCUGUAUGGGCCAGUCAGACAAGUUGGAACAGAUGGCUAAGGGUUUUUUAAAGAAUCUCUCAGCCUGUGAUGAAGGCCAUUAGAAAUCAUUCCAAAGACUGAUGGGACCAUAUGAGUAUGUACUGACUUAUGGAAGGUCAAUGUAGGCUCCACCUUUGCUUGCCCCAGAUAGAAGAUAUGUUGGAGUGAAUUGGACAAGCCCACUUCAUAAUGAUGCUAGACCUUAUGAAGGGGUAUUGGAGAGUCCAGUGGCUGUGGAGAAUAAGUCCAAGAUGGCUUUUGGCACUCCUUAAGGUUUGUUCCAGUUUACUAGGAUGUUGUUUGGACUGCAUGGGGCCUCAGUGUUAAGUCAUGAAAUGGGAUCCAGGACUAGUGUAUAAAGGAUUGACAUAACUCGUUCUAUGAAUGACAGAAAGAUUUUAUUUACUACAAGUAUUCAUUGUUCAAUGAGCUUAAAGCAAAUCAAAUUCUAAUAUAUUUAGAUGUAAACGUGAUAGUAUUUCACCAAUGCAGGCAAACAGCAGUUUCAGUCUUGUAAGCUUCUCAAGGUAUGGUUCCAUUCACCAGAAGAUAAGCUGGAAGCAAUAGCAGUUCUUGUCAGAAUUUCUCAUUCUUGAAAUGCACCCUGCUAGCUGUUUUGUUUCUCUUCAAAUCCUUUAAGCUCAGCUUUUUCAAAGCAUUUUUGUAGCCAAGUAAAAGAAAAACCCAAGCAAUAACAAACAGGAAGGUCCUGUUUUCAACUGUU
This is a long non-coding RNA of Alligator mississippiensis (American alligator), 3553 nucleotides long. RefSeq lists it as uncharacterized. The record is from RefSeq and is a predicted model, not a curated record. NCBI's taxonomy places the organism in Eukaryota, Metazoa, Chordata, Crocodylia, Alligatoridae. The transcript is spliced from 3 exons.